RNAcentral lists this ribosomal RNA (429 nucleotides) under Gemmatimonadota bacterium. Its description in RNAcentral is "Gemmatimonadetes bacterium partial 16S ribosomal RNA". It matches the Rfam family "Bacterial small subunit ribosomal RNA", at positions 355 to 776 of the family's 1533-position model. Lineage: Bacteria; Pseudomonadati; Gemmatimonadota. The record is from RNAcentral.
UAGGGAAUCUUCGGCAAUGGACGAAAGUCUGACCGAGCAACGCCGCGUGAGUGAAGAAGGUUUUCGGAUCGUAAAACUCUGUUGUUAGAUAAGAACAAGGACGUUAGUAACUGAACGUCCCCUGACGGUAUCUAACCAGAAAGCCACGGCUAACUACGUGCCAGCAGCCGCGGUAAUACGUAGGUGGCAAACGUUGUCCGGAUUUAUUGGGCGUAAAGCGAGCGCAGGCGGUUUCUUAAGUCUGAUGUGAAAGCCCCCGGCUCAACCGGGGAGGGUCAUUGGAAACUGGGAGACUUGAGUGCAGAAGAGGAGAGUGGAAUUCCAUGUGUAGCGGUGAAAUGCGUAGAUAUAUGGAGGAACACCAGUGGCGAAGGCGGCUCUCUGGUCUGUAACUGACGCUGAGGCUCGAAAGCGUGGGGAGCAAACAGG